Molecule: ribosomal RNA, 429 nt
Filed under: Pseudomonadota bacterium
Lineage: Bacteria; Pseudomonadati; Pseudomonadota
Description: Proteobacteria bacterium partial 16S ribosomal RNA
Rfam family: Bacterial small subunit ribosomal RNA
Source: RNAcentral
UGGGGAAUAUUGGACAAUGGGCGAAAGCCUGAUCCAGCCAUGCCGCGUGUGUGAAGAAGGUCUUCGGAUUGUAAAGCACUUUAAGUUGGGAGGAAGGGCAGUAAGCGAAUACCUUGCUGUUUUGACGUUACCGACAGAAUAAGCACCGGCUAACUCUGUGCCAGCAGCCGCGGUAAUACAGAGGGUGCAAGCGUUAAUCGGAAUUACUGGGCGUAAAGCGCGCGUAGGUGGUUCGUUAAGUUGAAUGUGAAAGCCCCGGGCUCAACCUGGGAACUACAUCCAAAACUGGCGAGCUAGAGUAGGGCAGAGGGUGGUGGAAUUUCCUGUGUAGCGGAGAAAUGCGUAGAUAUAGGAAGGAACACCAGUGGCGAAGGCGACCACCUGGGCUCAUACUGACACUGAGGUGCGAAAGCGUGGGGAGCAAACAGG